UACAACCUGCCCUUCAGAGGGGGACAACAGUUGGAAACGACUGCUAAUACCGCAUACGAUCUAAUCUCGGCAUCGAGGAUGGAUGAAAGGUGGCCUCUACAUGUAAGCUAUCACUGAAGGAGGGGAUUGCGUCUGAUUAGCUAGUUGGAGGGGUAACGGCCCACCAAGGCAACGAUGGAUAGGGGUUCUGAGAGGAAGGUCCCCCACACUGGUACUGAGACACGGACCAG
Molecule: ribosomal RNA, 230 nt
Filed under: uncultured bacterium
Lineage: Bacteria
Description: partial 16S ribosomal RNA
Rfam family: Bacterial small subunit ribosomal RNA
Source: RNAcentral